CGGUGUAAUAGGCUGCGUUAUCGAUUGAAAUCUACCUGCAGUAUACACACUGCGGGGAAUCACGUGUUUUUUUUUAAUAUGAAACACGGAUAAUGGCGGCGUCAUUGUCUCGAAAAUGACACGAAAAAAACCCGGCUUACCUUACAGAGGCCAAAGAACGCCUACAAAAAGAAGAUCGUUGUGACCAAGCAUAAAACAAUAAACACCCAGCUGCUAACAAGAUCAAAUGUUGAAAACAGGAUAACUUGCGGAAAACGAAGUUUAACCAAAACUCCAAUUAAAUCACCACCAAUCCGCACAGACUAAUCAGGGACGACAAUUUCCGCUUUUAUGACAUUUUCGUUUAAAUAAAGUGUCUUCUUAGCAAAAAUCCAGUUCAUGCGGAAAGUGUCUCCCUGAUGCGGACUGCACCGGCUAAUCUGGGAGUAAACUUUACGCACAUGCAUUAAGCCAAGUUGUCUCAGAACACGACUCAAAUGUGGUACCAUAUAAGAAGGAAACCACGUGUGUGACUGUGAACGAAAAACAUAUCAAAAAGGAAGAAAGAAGAUGGGCACAGUGUCUUCCUCACGGACAUCUUUACAGUUCGGGUCUCUCGGUGUACGUUGGGAAAAAGCGCGAAGAAAUGAGUAAAAAAUUCUGCCAUCUGAUAAGAUGGGCAUACAAUUACGUAAAUAAUUGACAGUAUGGACGAAGAAAUAAUUUCGAUGUGACAAUUUUCAUAAACGGCAGUUUGCUUUGUAAAUUAAAACUAUUCAAAAUAAGGGUACAAUUGUAUUCACACUUCCUUCCUUCGUCUUUUAUAAGCGUUGUUUAAGUUAAUUAAGUUAAUAUCACAUACCAUAGAGUUUGAGACAUAGCUACGGUGGCAUAAAGGGGAUAUAGGAAAUGUUUUAAUUAACGGUCUCUAUCACGUGCACACGUGAUAGCUGUGACGUGCGCAAGCGAUAGCUAUGACGUUCACACGCGAUAACUAUGACGUGCGAACGCGAUAGCUAUGACGUGCACAAGCGAUAACUAUGACGUGCGCACGCGAUAGCUAUAACGUGCGCACGCGAUAGUUAUGACGUGCGCACGCGAUAGAUUUGACGUGCGCAUGCGAUAGUUAUAACGUGCGAACGUACGUCAUAGCUGACCAAUCAGAAAAGGUAUCAGAUAAGUGAUUAUUCAGAUAUAAUUCGCUGUAAAAACACACCAUGUGCUCAGUGCGCUAGUUACAAAAUGGCUGACAUUUCGAAAAGUUUCAUUAGUCAACAAUUGCUUUCGCACGCGCAACCUAUUCUGAUCUGAUACCUUUUCUGAUUGGUCAGCUAUGGCGUGCGCACGUAAUUGCUAUCGCGAGCGCACGUCAUAGUUUUCGCGUGCGCACGCGAUGGACACAGUGAAAUAAAACAUUUCCUUUGUCCCCUUUUGCCACCGUACCUUACCGCCGAUGCAGCAUAUUGUUUAAUGUGUGCAUUGUUCUGAACAAAAAAAUUACCUGCGAUAUUUUAUAUCAAAGACAAUUGGUUAUGAAUAUUCAUCCAAAUUUUGAACAGAUGUUAAAUUUAAUGCUUGUAUGUUAUUAUAUAUUUUGUUGCAUACAAACGGAUUUUGUAACAUUGUCCUGUACUCAGUAUGCAAGAUUAAAUACUAUACGAUCAAAAGUG
This is a long non-coding RNA of Dreissena polymorpha, 1649 nucleotides long. RefSeq lists it as uncharacterized. The transcript has 3 exons. The record is from RefSeq and is a predicted model, not a curated record. Lineage: Eukaryota; Metazoa; Mollusca; Bivalvia; Myida; Dreissenidae.